CGCCGCGGAGCGCCGCCGCCUCCGGCGUCCUCGCGGCAGAUCCGCCGUCGCCUCCUUCUGAAAAUUCAGCGGACGACGGCAGCGGCUUCACGCCACCACCACCGGCGUCCUAGCCCCCAACUCUCUCUCUCCCUCUCCAACUUCGGUCGGGCAGAAGCAGAAGAAGCGGACUGCCGCCGUACCCUCCACCUCCCUUUCGAUCUCCGGCGAACGCGCCUCCGCGUCGCCUCCAGUCGAUGAAGGACGCCGCCUUCACCGGCUCCCUCACAACCCUGCCGUCGCCUCACUCCGAAGUCCGACGGCCGCAGCAGUUAGCCGAGCUAACUACCGCCACCCCCUUAGCUCCUGCCUCCCUCUCUCUCUUCGUCCUCGGCCCGACAGCAGCGGGCAGAGCCGCCGUGCCGCGGCCUCCCUCUGUCUCGCAUCUCUCUCACGAUCCAGCCCAACACACACACAACACCAGUUCAAAAGCAGAUACAAGAAUUCAAGACUCUACCU
RNAcentral lists this long non-coding RNA (498 nucleotides) under Salvia miltiorrhiza (redroot sage). RNAcentral's name for it is "long non-coding RNA (SMIL_LNC009928)". The record is from RNAcentral. Lineage: Eukaryota; Viridiplantae; Streptophyta; Magnoliopsida; Lamiales; Lamiaceae.